AUGGCUGACGGCGAGGCGCUGUUCCGAAUCACGACAUCCUUCGUCCCCAUUGACGGCUACGGUCGAUCUUUGGCCGUUUGUCUUCGAUGAGAUCAACGGAGAAGGAAGACAAUCCGACGCUGAGGAUCGAUCGCGAUCUUUGGGCGGCAGUUCGAUCCGGAAUCUUCCAGCGACGGAAUUUCCAUCUACGCGAGGCAUGCUUGCGAUUUGGGCAUUCAAAAGAAGUACGCCGCUCGCGGAUCUCGUACUGAAACUCUCAUGGCCGCCGCAGGAUCUAUCGGUCGACCUUGCACGAUCUACGGGCCGGCCCGACGUUAAUAAUGUUUUACACACCCUAUUCGCCUGAUUAUUAUUAUCGACCACACCUCGCGCCAUUUUCGCGUAGUCUUCGUAUAACGCGGAAGAGGAAAGAGAAAGAAAGAUGAAUAGAGAGAGAGAGAGAGAGAGACAAAGAGAGACAGAGAGAGAGAGAGAGAGAGAGGAGGGGAGGGGAGAGGGAAAUAGAAAGAGACAGAGUAAGAAAAUGAGUUUGCCAAGAGAAAACAAUCUGGCUUUCUUGCUUCACGUCCUCUCCCCAGAUCGAUCUCUUCAGGAAUGCCACUGGCUAUCCGGUAGCCGACGACGAUCGGUCUCGGUCGACCCGCGACAAGACUCGUAAUUUAUGGCGGUAACAAAGACGAAUUCACACACGCGGGACACGUCGCUUUUAGACCUUUAUAAAUGCGUCUAGAAGAAAGCGCGGAUGCAGUGAUGUUCUAUCAAGGUUGCUCGACACAUAGUCGAUACGUAUGACGACCUAUCUAACUACGUGCAAAUUACGUGAACUCCAGGUUGCUUAUUUCACUCGAUAGUUUCCAACUUGACGGUACAUAACGGCAUUGAAUUUGAUAUUUAAUAAUGAAUAUCGCACGUAAACUCUUGUGAACAAAGUUUUAAAAUUCCAAAACCAAUCGUGCACCAUCAUCGGACUUGAAAUUAUUUAAUAAAAUAUGAAAGAUCAUAUUUUGUAGUGUCAUAUUUGGUACUUAAAAUGUUGAUACAUUUUAGUACAUGCGUGUAGAUAUUGUGAUGAAUAACGAAGUCGUUUUAAAGUAAUUCAAUCUUUAAAAUAAUCGAUAGAUUUUCGCAAAUCGGUAUUGAUGGAAUACUUAAUGAGAUACUAAUCUACUUACGGUUUCUCUCAGAAAAUUGAUUUUAUAAAUCAAGCAAUUUUUAAAGAAACCAAUUCUGUAAAAUUUAAAAGUCUUUCUUGGAAGCAAAUGUCACAAGAACUAUAUUAUUCUUGGGUACUAUUUAACUUCUUAUCAUGAAAAUGUAGAUCGACUCGUUUAUCGAAUGCAAAGCGUAUUACAGUCUUCAAUCUUUUUGAAAAGCUAACUAACGUACGUUAAAAGACGAGAAAGAGCCAAUAAUUUUUCAGCCAUCUUAAAUUAAAACACAUCUACCUCGUUAAUUACCACUUAGAUAUAGUGUAUAAUAUGAUGUCUUAUUUUAAACUUAUAAGCGUAAUUAUGCAUUUUAUAAUAAGUUAUAUUAUCUAUUAAUUAAAUCAUAUAUUAAAAUAAUAUAUGAUUUAAUUAAUACAAUUAAUAUUACGUCACAAUGUAUUUGAAUUACAUAGAGGUAUACAACUUGUAAAACAUGAUUAGACAAAAUGUAAACAUCUAAAUCAAUUAAAUAAUAAUGUUUUAAUAGCGC
RNAcentral lists this long non-coding RNA (1698 nucleotides) under Ooceraea biroi (clonal raider ant). RNAcentral's name for it is "uncharacterized LOC113561637". The record is from RNAcentral. Lineage: Eukaryota; Metazoa; Arthropoda; Insecta; Hymenoptera; Formicidae.